CCUGUGUAAAGAAAAAGACUCUCGAUUGGAAAAUCACUCACCUUUACUCCCGUGUCGGCCAGGGGACCCGGGAAGUCCUGAUGUGAUUAAAAACAGACAGCAAGUUCCCUGAAGGUUCGUGGACAGAUUCUAUCUCAUCCUUCUGUAUUUUUCCCACCGGCAGUGACUGAAACAGCACCCAUUUCCAAGAAGCAGCAUACUGACCUGGGGGUCCGUGGGGGCCCGGCGAGCCACUGGAACCUGAGGAGGAGGAAGAGAAGAUGGGCAGAGGGUCCGGUGCUGACGGGCAGGUGAGGGUGGAGGGAGCUCACUUCCGGGGAGGACUGUGUGGG
Heterocephalus glaber (naked mole-rat) is the source of this 332-nucleotide non-coding RNA. The record is from RefSeq and is a predicted model, not a curated record. Lineage: Eukaryota; Metazoa; Chordata; Mammalia; Rodentia; Bathyergidae.